CGGGUGAGUAACGCGUGGAUAAUCUACCCUUAAGGAUGGGGAUAACGGCUGGAAACGGUCGCUAAUACCGAAUACGCUCCCGAUUUUAUCAUUGGGGGGAAAGAUGGCCUCUGCUUGCAAGCUAUCGCUUAAGGAUGAGUCCGCGUCCCAUUAGCUAGUUGGCGGGGUAACGGCCCACCAAGGCAACGAUGGGUAGCCGGUCUGAGAGGAUGACCGGCCACACUGGAACUGGAACACGGUCCAG
This 244-nucleotide ribosomal RNA is filed under the name uncultured bacterium. RNAcentral's name for it is "partial 16S ribosomal RNA". It matches the Rfam family "Bacterial small subunit ribosomal RNA", at positions 103 to 334 of the family's 1533-position model. The record is from RNAcentral.